Molecule: ribosomal RNA, 465 nt
Filed under: uncultured Klebsiella sp.
Lineage: Bacteria; Pseudomonadati; Pseudomonadota; Gammaproteobacteria; Enterobacterales; Enterobacteriaceae
Description: bacterial SSU rRNA
Rfam family: Bacterial small subunit ribosomal RNA
Source: RNAcentral
CCUACGGGUGGCAGCAGUGGGGAAUAUUGCACAAUGGGGGCAAGCCUGAUGCAGCCAUGCCGCGUGUGUGAAGAAGGCCUUCGGGUUGUAAAGCACUUUCAGCGGGGAGGAAGGCGGUGAGGUUAAUAACCUCAUCGAUUGACGUUACCCGCAGAAGAAGCACCGGCUAACUCCGUGCCAGCAGCCGCGGUAAUACGGAGGGUGCAAGCGUUAAUCGGAAUUACUGGGCGUAAAGCGCACGCAGGCGGUCUGUCAAGUCGGAUGUGAAAUCCCCGGGCUCAACCUGGGAACUGCAUUCGAAACUGGCAGGCUAGAGUCUUGUAGAGGGGGGUAGAAUUCCAGGUGUAGCGGUGAAAUGCGUAGAGAUCUGGAGGAAUACCGGUGGCGAAGGCGGCCCCCUGGACAAAGACUGACGCUCAGGUGCGAAAGCGUGGGGAGCAAACAGGAUUAGAUACCCCGGUAGUC